CUGGCGGCUCGCCCACAGUGUCAGUCUAAGCAGGGCUAGAGGGGUGGUGCUCCUCCUCCAUCGGGCAGACGAGUUUCCAGGACGGCCACUAGAGCCUCGGAAAUCGGACACUUUCCCAGGGAAGGUGGCGGCAAGCUGCGACCCAUCCCGGGAACACGGAGCGCGCGUCGGGAACAGGAGAGCCCGUUUGCUCUCCGUCUGGAUGCUACGCCUGCUUGUCACAGGGCCGCAGGGGACACUCGGAGCCGGUAGGCACGCCCAGUGGAUGCGCUGUUGGCAGGGGCGAAGAGACCUCGUCCACCUGCAGGGAGGGAACGUGCAGACUCCACACGGACAGACACCCCGGUCCAGACUCGAACCCAGGAGGCCGGAGCUGUGAGGCACCUGGGUGAUCCGGGGGCCCAACAGCAACAGGGUGGUGGAGAAAAAAACGACAACUGCAUGAGGCUACUGUCAGCUGCACACCGGAGAGAAGUGCGCUUUGAAAGGCACUUCGCUUAGGGAUCUCUCAGUCCUGAGUUAGAUCUUUACCCUUGAUCCAACUGGGCCCCCUGUGGGAUGGAAAAACACAGAUGGAUCCAGACAGAUUCCCUGCCGGGAGUCAGGGAUCUGAGAGCGCUUCGCCUACAGGAGGGGUCCCAAAUUCCCCCGCACAGCUCUGCAAUGGAGAGUGUGGGGAGCAUCUGGUUGGCCAGGCCCAGGAAAUCAGUUGAUGACUUGGUUACUUGAUUGCACACUUCCCCCGAAGAGCCCUCCAGGAUCCGAACCGGAGAGCGCCGAUUUCAGCUGUCCACAGCUGCCCUGCAGGGGGCUGGAAGAUGGGGCCGCCGGGCAGCCGUGUGAACGAGGUGUUGCCAAUUAAGUAGAAGAGGUGGGAGCGUUUAAGAGGGGAAGACGAGACCCGAGAGAUUGGACACGGGGAACGGAGACAGUGGAGUGCUGUGGGGGUUUUGGGACAUGUUGUGUCUUUUUGUUUUCAGUUAGUGUGGAUGGGUGUAGACCGGAAUACUUUUUUUUUUUGGUAGGGCCUUAUUGUUUAGGCACAACCACCGUUCCAGUUGUCUCUAGUUUGUUUUUCGUUUAUAGUCGGUUCUGCUUGGAAUACAAAUGUUGACUUCCGGUUCCCUGGAUUUGCAAUGAUAAUAAAGUUGAUUUGUUUUCCCAGGGGAAUCCAAUCUCCCGGGUGUCCUUUUUCUUUUAGGUUGCAGCUUUUUUCCCCCCUCCACCAAAAAUGACAACAGUAACCCAUUAACAUUCAUACUGGUUUAAGCAAUAAAAAAAAACCUAGUCCUUACCUAGCUGUCAUUAAUCAUACUGAAGAACAGU
Molecule: non-coding RNA, 1326 nt
Organism: Lepisosteus oculatus (spotted gar)
Lineage: Eukaryota; Metazoa; Chordata; Actinopteri; Semionotiformes; Lepisosteidae
Source: RefSeq, a predicted model, not a curated record